AAUCAACGCUGGCGGCGUGCCUAACACAUGCAAGUCGAACGCGAAAGCCCCGCAAGGGGCAAGUAGAGUGGCAAACGGGUGAGUAACACGUGGGUGACCUGCCUUCGAGCGGGGGAUAACGUCCCGAAAGGGACGCUAAUACCGCAUAACAUCCUGCCUUUGAAGAGGUGGAGAUCAAAGCUGGGGAUCGCAAGACCCGGCACUUGAAGAGGGGCCCGCGUCUGAUUAGCUAGUUGGNGGGGUAAUGGCCUACCAAGGCAACGAUCAGUAUCCGGCCUGAGAGGGCGGACGGACACACUGGGACUGAGACACGGCCCAGACUCCUACGGGAGCAGCAGUGGGGAAUUGUUCGCAAUGGGCGCAAGCCUGACGACGCAACGCCGCGUGGAGGAUGAAG
This 397-nucleotide ribosomal RNA is filed under the name uncultured bacterium. RNAcentral describes it as "bacterial SSU rRNA". It matches the Rfam family "Bacterial small subunit ribosomal RNA", at positions 29 to 413 of the family's 1533-position model. The record is from RNAcentral.